CCGGCGCACGGGUGCGUAACGCGUAUGCAAUCUACCUUAUACUGGGGUAUAGCCCGAAGAAAUUCGGAUUAAUCCCCCAUAGUACUAAUAUACUUCAUGGUAAUUUAGUUAAAGUUUCGGCGGUAUGAGAUGAGCAUGCGUCCUAUUAGCUUGAUGGUAAGGUAACGGCUUACCAUGGCUACGAUAGGUAGGGGGCCUGAGAGGGUGACCCCCCACACUGGUACUGAGACACGGACCAGACUCCUACGGGAGGCAGCAGUGAGGAAUAUUGGUCAAUGGGCGCAAGCCUGAACCAGCCAUGCCGCGUGCAGGAAGAAUGCCCUAUGGGUUGUAAACUGCUUUUAUUUAGGAAUAAACCUUUCUACGUGUAGAAAGCUGAAGGUACUGAAUGAAUAAGCACCGGCUAACUCCGUGCCAGCAGCCGCGGUAAUACGGAGGGUGCAAGCGUUAUCCGGAAUCAUUGGGUUUAAAGGGUCCGCAGGCGGGCGUAUAAGUCAGUGGUGAAAUCCUGCAGCUUAACUGCAGAACUGCCAUUGAUACUGUAUGCCUUGAAUUCGGUCGAAGUGGGCGGAAUGUGUAGUGUAGCGGUGAAAUGCAUAGAUAUUACACAGAACACCGAUAGCGAAGGCAGCUCACUAGGCCUGGAUUGACGCUCAGGGACGAAAGCGUGGGGAUCAAACAGGAUUAGAUACCCUGGUAGUCCACGCCGUAAACUAUGAUUACUCGUUUUUGGCGAUAUACAGUCGGAGACUAAGCGAAAGUGAUAAGUAAUCCACCUGGGGAGUACGAUCGCAAGGUUGAAA
This 803-nucleotide ribosomal RNA is filed under the name uncultured bacterium. Its description in RNAcentral is "bacterial SSU rRNA". It matches the Rfam family "Bacterial small subunit ribosomal RNA", at positions 95 to 899 of the family's 1533-position model. The record is from RNAcentral.